Pan troglodytes (chimpanzee) is the source of this 1160-nucleotide long non-coding RNA. RefSeq lists it as uncharacterized. The transcript has 3 exons. Lineage: Eukaryota; Metazoa; Chordata; Mammalia; Primates; Hominidae. The record is from RefSeq and is a predicted model, not a curated record.
AGCCAAGGAACAGGGAGGGAGGAGCGGUGCUCAGCCAAUGAGGCGAUGCCCUGGAGCCCCACCCCACCCAUGCUGGCCCCAGGACCCCAACCCCAGGCCAGACCCUCCAGUGCUCCUCCUGACCUUCCCUGUCUGCAGCCUGGCUUUGGACUGUGGAGAUGCCCUCAGCCUCUACUCAGUGGCUCCAGCCUCAUAUUUGCAUGCUAUACCUUUAACCUCGAGCCCUCUUGCUGCUAACUUAAACUGCGACUGUCCAGGACCUGCACACACACAUACACGCACGCAUGCACACACACACACACACAGAAGGUGAACACACAGGAUGAGGCCCUGAAAACUCGUUUCACCCGUGUACCUCGCCCAAAAAUUCCCCUUUGUACUUCUAUCUUUAUCUCUAACUGACAGCAUGAAGGUAGCCUGAACGAAGUCCCCUCACCCUGUCUGUCCUCCUGAUUCUCUAGCCCAGUUCCCUCUAGCUCCAGCACAGACUCUUAUCUCCAGCCCUGACUGCCGAAACCCUCCAGCCCCAGCUCCAGCCCCUCAGGAGGGGACUCCAUGGGAGGAACGACUCCAGCAAGCCGGCAGCUGACCCGUCUCUGGCCUGCACGCCUCCCCCCUGUGGUCCACUGCUGGUGGUCUUCAGCUCUCUCCUCGUCCCACCCCCAUGGUCUGCUGACAGCCCAGCUCAGCGCAUCCCUGCCAUCUCUGCUCUACCGCUGGUCCUCCCAACAACCAACUUACAGGCAGUUUGGGAUUUCAGCAGGUGGCCCAGUGCUGAGACACAAGGGAGGUGUUUCUGGUCUGCAGACACUGAGGACACUUGCUACGUGGCGUGGUGGACGGUGGGGUUUCACUCCCGUCACCCAGACUGGAGUACGAUGGUGCGAUCUCAGCUCACUGCAACCUCUGCCUCCUGGGCUCAAGCGAUUCUCCUGCCUUGGCCUCCCAAGUAGCUGGGAUUACAGGUGCCUGCCACCACUCCUGGCUAAUUUUCGUAUUUUUUGUAAAGGCGGAGUUUCUCCAUGUUGCCCAGGCUAGUCUCAAACUCCUGAGCUCAAGCAAUCCACCCUCCUCGGCCUCCCAAAUAAGUGGAAUUACAGGUGUGAGCCACCAUGCCGGCCCUGAUGUAUCAAUAUUAAAACAUUUUCUUCAGCCUACAA